GAUUGCAAAAAUUUUUGCCCAUUCAAAAGGUAGCCUGUUCACUCUAAUGAUAGUUUUUUGUUUUUUUUUUUCUGUGCAGAAGCUCUUUAGUUUAAUUAGAUCCCAUUUGUCAAUUUUGGCUUUUGUUGCCAUUGCUUUUGGCAUUUUAGUCAUUAAGUCUUUGCCCACGCGUAUGUCCUGAAUGGUAUUACCUAGGUUUUCUUCUAGGGUUUCUAUGGUUUUAGGUCUUACAUUUUAGUCUUUGAUCCAUCUUGAGUUAAUUUUUAUAUGAGGUGUAAGGAACGGGUCCAGUUUCAGUUUUCUGCAUAUGGUUAGCCAGUUUUCCUAACACCAUUUAUUAAAUAGGGAAUCCAUUCCCCAUUGCUUGUUUUUCUCAGGUUUGUCAAAGAUCUGAUGGUUGUAGUUGUGUGGUAUUAUUUCUGAAGUCUCUGUUCUGUUCCAUUGGUCUAUAUAUCUGUUUUGGUACCAGUACCAUGCUGUUUUGGUUACUGUAGCCUUGUAGUAUAGUUUGAAGUCAGGUAGGGUGAUGCUUCCAGCUUUGUUCUUUUUGGUUAGGAUUGUCUUGGCUAUACAGGCUCUUUUUUGGUUCCAUAUGAAAUUUAGUUUUUUCUAAUUCUGUGAAGAAAGUCAAUGGUAGCUUGAAGGGGAUAGCAUUGAAUCUAUAAAUUACUUUGGGUAGUAUGGCCAUUUUCACAAUAUUGAUUCCUCCGAUCCAUGAGCAUGGAAUGUUCUUCCAUUUGUUUGUGUCCUCUCUUAUUUCCAUGAGCAGUGGUUUGUAGUUCUCCUUGAGGAAGUCCUCUACGUCCCUUUAAGUUGUAUUCCUAGGUAUUUUAUUCUCUUUGUAGCAACUGCGAAUGGGAGUUCACUCAUGAUUUGGCUCUCUGUUUGUCUAUUAUUGGUGUAUAGGAAUGCUUGUGAUUUUUGCACAUUGAUUUUGUGUCCUGAGACUUUGCUGAAGUUGCUUAUCAGCUUAAGGAGAUUUUGGGCUGAGACAAUGGGGUUUUCUGAAUAUACAGUCAUGUCAUCUGCAAACAGAAAGAAUUUGACUUCCUCUGUUCAUAUUUGAAUACCCUUUGUUUCUUUCUUUUGCCUGAUUGCCCUGGCCGGAACUUCCAAUACUAUGUUGAAUAGGAGUGGUGAGAUAGGGCAUCCUUGACUUGUGCCAGUUUUCGAAGAGAAUGCUUCCAGCUUUUGCCCAUUCAGUAUGAUAUUGGCUGUGGGUUUGUCAUAAAUAGCUCCUAUUAUUUUGAGAUAUGUUCUAUCAAUACCUAGUUUAUUGAGUGUUUUUAACAUGAAGAUGUGUUGAAUUUUAUUGAAGUCCUUUUCUGCAUCUAUUGAGAAAAUCAUGUGGUUUUUGUUGUUGGUUUUGUUUAUGGGACGGAUUACGUUUAUUGAUUAGUGUAUGUUGAACCAGCCUUGCAUCCCAGGGAUGAUGCCCACUUGAUCAUGGUGGAUAAGCUUUUUGAUGUGAUACUGGAUUUGGUUUGUCAGUAUUUUAUUGAGGAUUUUUGUUUCAAUGUUCUUCAGGGAUAUUUGCCUGAAAUUUUCUUUUUUUUGUUGUGUCUCUGCCAGUCUUUGGUAUCAGGAUGAUGCUGGCCUCAUAAAAUGAGUUAGGGAGGAGUCCCUCUUUUUCUAUUGUUUGGAAUAGUUUCAGAAGGAAUGGUAGCAGCUCUUCUUUGUACCGCUGGUAGAAUUCGACUGUGAAUCCAUCUGGUCCUGGGCUUUGUUUUUGGUUGGUAGGCUAUUAAUUACUGCCUCAAUUUCAGAACUUGUUAUUGGUAUAUUCAGGGAUUCGACUUCUUCCUGGUGUAGUCUUGGGAGGGUGUAUGUGUCCAGGAAUUUUUCCAUUUUUUUCUAGAUUUUCUAGUUUAUUUGUGUAGAGAUGUUUAUAGUGUUCUCUGAUGGUAGUGUGUUUUUCUGUGGUGUCAGUGGUGAUAUCCCCUUUAUCAUUUUUUUAUUGUGUCUAUUUGAUUCUUCUCUCUUUUCUUCUUUGUUAGUCUGGCUAGCAGUCUAUUUUUUUAAUCUUUUCAAAAAACCAGCUCCUGGAUACAUUUUUUUUGAACCGUUUUUCCCGUCUCUAUCUCCUUCAGUUCUGCCCUGAUCUUAGUUAUUUCUUGUCUUCUGCUAGCUUUUGAAUUUGUUUGCCCUUGCUUCUCUAGGUCUUUUUAUUGUGACGUUAGGGUGUUGAUUUUAGAUCUUUUCUGUUUUCUCCUGUGGGCAUUUAGUUGUAUAAAUUUCCCUCUAAACACUGCUUUAGCUGUAUCCCAGAGAUUCUGGUAUGUUGUGUCUUUGUUCUCAUUGGUUUCAAAUAACUUAUUUAUUUCUGCCUUAUUUUCGUUAUUUGCCCAGUACCCAUUCAGGAGCAGGUCGUUCCAUUUCCAUGUAGUUAUGUGGUUUUGAGUGAUUUUUUUUUUUUUUUUUUUUUUUUUUGCGAUGGAGUCUUGCUCUGUCACCCAGGCUGGAGUGCAGUGGCGCGAUAUUGGCUCACUGCAAGCUCCGCCUCCUGGGUUCAUGCCAUUCUCCUGCCUCAGCCUCCCUAGUAGAGUAGCUGGGACUACAGGCGCCCACCACCACACCUGGCUAUUUUUUUUGUAUUUUUAGUAGAGAUGGGGUUUCACUGUGUUAGCCAGGAUGGACAUGAUCGCCUGACCUUGUGAUCUGCCUGCCUUGGCCUCCCAAAGUGCUGUUGAGUGAUCUUCUUAAUCCUGAGUUCUAAUUUGAUUGCAUUGUGGUCUGGAGAGUCUGGUUUUUAUGAUUUCUAUUGUUUUGCAUUUGCUGAGGAGUGUUUUACUUCCAAUUAUGUGGUCAAUUUUAGAAUAAGUGCGAUGUGGUGCUGAGAAGAAUGUAUAUUGUUGAUUUGGGGUGGAGAGUUCUGUACAUGUCUAUUAGUUCUGCUUGGUGCAGAGCUGAGUUCAAGUCCUGAAUAUCCUUGUUAAUUUUCUGUCUCAUGAUCUGUCUAAUACUGACAGUGGUGUGUUAAAGUCUCCCACUAUUAUUGUGUGGGAGUCUAGGUCUCUUUGUAGGUCUCUAAGAACUUGCUUUAUGAAUCUGGGUGCUUCUGUAUUGGGAGCAUAUACAUUUAGGAUAGUUAACUCUUCUUGUUGCAUUGAUCCCUUUACCAUUAUGUAAUGUCCCUCUUUGUCUAUUUUGAUCUUUGUUGGAUUAAAGUCUGUUUUAUCAGAGACGAGGAUUGCAACCCCUGCUUUUUUUUUGCUUUCCAUUUGCUUCAUAAGUACCCCUCCAUCCCUUUAUUUUGAACCUAUGUGUGUCUCUGCAUGUGAGAUGGGUCUCCUGAAUACAGCACACCAAUGGGUAUUGACUCUUUAUCCAAUUUGCCCAUCUGUGUCUUUCAUUUGGGGCUUUUAGCACAUUUACAUUUAAGGUCAAUAUUGUUAUGUGUGAAUUUGAUCCUGUCAUCAUGAUGCUAGCUAGUUACUUUGCACAUUACUUGAUGCAGUUUCUUCAUAGUGUCAUUUGUCUUUAUAUUUUGGUAUGUUUUUGCAGUGGCUGGUACCAGUUUUUCCUUUCUAUAUUUAGUGCUUCCUUUGGUAUCUCUUGUCAGGCAGGCCUGGUGGUGACAAAAUCCCUCAGCAUUUGCUUGUCUGGAAAGGAUAUUAUUUCUCUUUUGCUUGUGAAGCUUAGUUUGGCUGUAUAUGAAAUUCUGGGUUGAAAUUCUUUUCUUUAAGAAUGUUGAAUAUUGGCCCCUACCCUCUUCUGCCUUGUAGGGUUUCUGCAGAGGCAUCCAUUGUAAGACUGAUGGGCUUCCCUUUGUAGGUAACCUGACCUUUCUAACUGGCUGCCCUUAACAUUUUUUCCUUCAUUUCAACCUUGGUGAAUCUGACGAUUAUAUUUUGGGGUUGCACUUCUCAAGGAGUAUCUUAGUGGUGUUCUCUGUAUUUCCUGAAUUUGAAUGUUGACCUGUGAUGUUCUCUGUAUUUCCUGAAUUUGAAUAUUGGCCUGUCUUUCUAGGUUUGGAACGUUCUCCUGGAUGUCAUCAUGAAGUGUGUUUUCCAACUUGUUUCCAUUCUCCCCCUCACUUUCAGGUACACCAAUCAAUCAUAGGUUUGGUCUUUUCACAUAGUCACAUAUUUCUUUGAGGCUUUGUUUGUUCCUUUUCAUUACUUUUUUCUCUAAUCUUGUCUUCACGCUUUAUCUCAUUAAGUUGAUCUUCAAUCUUUGAUAUCCUUUCUUUCGCUUGAUCGAUUCGGCUAUUGAUACUUGUGUAUGCUUCACGAAGUUCUCGUACUGUAUUUUUCAGCUACAUCAGAUCAUUUAUGUUCUUCUCUAAACUGGUUAUUCUAGUUAGCAGUUCCUAUAACUUUUUAUCAAGGUUCCUAGCUUCCUUGCAUUGGGUUAGAAUAUCCUACUUUAGCUGGAAUCAUUUGUUAUUACCAACCUUCUCAAGCCUACUUCUGUCAAUUCAUCAAACUCAUUCUCCAUCCAGUUUUGUGCCCUUGCUGGCAUGAGGUUGUGAUACUUUGGAGGAGAAGAGGCAUUCUGGCUUUUGGAAUUUUCAGCAUUUUUGCACUUUUUUUAAAAAUUUUUUUAUUUUAUCAAAAUGUAAUUUAAUCCAGGAUUUUAAAAAACAAUCUUCCUUAUUUCACAGUUUAUAUUAGAGAAUUUCUCUAACAUGUGGUUCUGUUUUUCUUUUAUUUUACAUAUACCAUGUUUCUGAAUUCCACGACCACUUAUAAAAUAUAAUGAUAAUUUUUUACUUUACUUAAUUCUGUCUUUUUAUGAGAAAUAGUGUUUUAUCUUUUUUUAUUCUUUUUCUUUUUUUUUAUAUACUUAAAGUUUUAGGGUACAUGUGCAGAACGUGCAGGUUAGAUACAUAUGAAUACAUGUGCCAUGUUGGUGUGCUGCACCCAUUAACUCGUCAUUUAACAUUAGGUAUAUCUCCUAAUGCUUUCUCUCCCCCCUCCCCCUACCCCACAACAGGCCCCGGUGUGUGAUGUUCCCCU
This 4961-nucleotide long non-coding RNA is filed under the name Homo sapiens (human). RNAcentral's name for it is "HSALNT0283787". The record is from RNAcentral. Lineage: Eukaryota; Metazoa; Chordata; Mammalia; Primates; Hominidae.